AUUGAACGCUGGCGGCAUGCCUAACACAUGCAAGUCGAACGAGUGGCGGACGGGUGAGUAAUGUCUGGGAACCUGCCUAAUAGCGGGGGAUAACUACUGGAAAGGGUGGCUAAUACCGCAUACCAUCGGAUGUGCCCAUAUGGGAUUAGCUUGUUGGUGGGGUAACGGCUCACCAAGGCGACGAUCCGUAGCUGGUUUGAGAGGAUGACCAGCCACACUGGAACUGAGACACGGCCCAGACUCCUACGGGAGGCAGCAGUGGGGAAUAUUGCACAAUGGGGGCAAGCCUGAUGCAGCCAUGCCGCGUGUAUGAAGAAGGCCUUCGGGUUGUAAAGUACUUUCAGCGGGGAGGCGGUAUCUGCAGAAGAAGCACCGGCUAACUACGUGCCAGCCGCCGCGGUAAUAC
This 406-nucleotide ribosomal RNA is filed under the name uncultured bacterium. RNAcentral describes it as "partial 16S ribosomal RNA". It matches the Rfam family "Bacterial small subunit ribosomal RNA", at positions 30 to 526 of the family's 1533-position model. The record is from RNAcentral.